Long non-coding RNA from Quercus robur (English oak), 1093 nucleotides. RefSeq lists it as uncharacterized. NCBI's taxonomy places the organism in Eukaryota, Viridiplantae, Streptophyta, Magnoliopsida, Fagales, Fagaceae. The record is from RefSeq and is a predicted model, not a curated record. The transcript has 4 exons.
CAGAAAUAAAGAGAGGGAUGAGGACACAGAGAAAGAAGCAAGAAAGGGAGGCGAUGAAAUGCGACACGGAAAAAGAAACAGAGAGAGAGGCAGAGUUCCUAAGGCUAUCCAUAGUGCGUUACAAUCAAAAGGGAAAGAGAGCAGAGUUCGUCUGAACCAUACGCCGUCCAUUCCCUUGCCAGAUUUAGACCACCAGAUCGCCGGAACUAACAUCAACAAUGAAUGAUUGAGUCCUACACCGUCAGUAGCCUCGCCAUAGCAGAAAAAUCUAUGGACCAUCAACACCGUAAGACCAUAUAGCGAUAGAGUGAGAACUACCACCGCUGUGCCAAGAGGGAGAGUUGUGAAACCAAGAGAUAGUUAUGUUGAAGACAAUGGAAGAACAAGUGUAUUUCCAUGGUUUUAGAAUGAACAGGAGGUAGAUGUGAAAAACACACCAGCAGUUUCGCUGCCGAAGAAGAAUCAUGAUUCAGUCAUGAGCCGCAUUGAUACGGAUUUCUUGCCACCACGAAUUCCUCCAUUUUAUCCUUUCGAGAAGGUCUCUGUGGAACCGAUGGUACCUUUUAAAGUAACUACAAGUAUACAUCCUUCAAAGAGUCUGAAUGCAAGUUCUGCAAAAGUUCACUGUUGUGUUGCUUCUGCAGUAUACAAUUAGCUUUUCUCAUGAAAAUUUUAUUGGUGAAGGUAUGCUUGGUAGUGUUUAUUUGGGUAAGCUGCCCGAUUGAAAGGUAAGAUUCUUUUAACUUAAUAAGAACUAAUUUGCCAGGAUGAUGGCGUGGUUGUUUGAUUGUGUGGCUUCUACUUCAGAAUGCCUCAUGUACAUUUGUAUUUGUUGUCUUUUUUUCCCCUUCAUCUUCUCUAUCCUCAUUAGGAGUAGGAGAGUAGUCGAGAAAUAGCCAUAGACAAAUAAGAAAAUGUUUUAGUGAAGUUUAGAAGAAUACAAAAAUUGUCAAUAUCCUCUUGCUUCAAGAAAUUUAUGGAAAAGGAUUGUGCUAAAAAGCAUCAACCAAAUGUACAUGGCUUAGGAAAAGAGUAGGUAACUGUAGAUUUCUCUGUGAGAUUUCACAAAUGUAACUUUGAUUUAGUUCCAUAA